This is a long non-coding RNA of Numida meleagris (helmeted guineafowl), 3377 nucleotides long. RefSeq lists it as uncharacterized. The record is from RefSeq and is a predicted model, not a curated record. The transcript is spliced from 6 exons. Lineage: Eukaryota; Metazoa; Chordata; Aves; Galliformes; Numididae.
AGGUUGGUUCACCCUUCCCUAAGCCUCCUUUAAGGGCUGGUUGCCAGGGGGGAAGGGUUUCUAACCGGAGAUUCCUCCUUUUGGGGUGUUCAGUGAGUCCUGAUCCUUGGGAUGGCUCAAUUUCUAAUCUUGCUGUGGUGGAGUUACGUGACCAAACAAGGCUGUGGUCUGCUGUGUUUGUAGUGCACUGAAUAGCUUCUCGUUCAUCCUUGGCCUCUGUCUGUAUCUCCCCAACUCCACUAUUUCUCUUGUGUCCACACAACUAUCUCCAGCAACAUUGAUAAUUUUCUUCUGAUCUCAAAAGUGUGGAUGAGAGAGGUAAUUGUCAGCUUGCUGCCCAAGCAAAUCAUCACAGAGGGUCCAGAGCCUGUGUUUAAGCAGUCUCUCUGGGCUCCCUCCCACCAGCAAGGCUGACCUCCAAGUGUGUGCUUGCAGAGGUGGUUGCUUCUGUAUUAAGUAGCCAAGGACAGGUUGCAAAGAAGGCAGGGAAGAACCUGGCUCACUUGUAUCCUUAGGUAUUCUGGGUAAUUUACCUGCACAGCCAGCCUCUGAAUUGCUCUUUGGAACGCAAUUGCUGUUAUUUUUGAAAGCACUACUCUCAAAAGCAAUAUUUCAUCAUUACUGUAAAACAUCAUCCCCACAAUUAUCAGACAGAGUGUCUGUAGGAAUCUUACGGGAAACAUGGUGACGCCUGAAGCAAGCCCCAAACCUGAAGCUAUGUCUCAUUAGUGCCUGGCUGUGGCAUGCCACCCUCUUACCCCAGCACGAGAGGAAUUAGAAUUUGGCCUUCAGACUGUCAUGUGCACUGGCGUGGGAUUAGUUCCCAUGAGUCUAUCUUCUUAAAAGUAGACUGCUUUUGGAGGAGAAGCACUGCCUUAUCUCCAGCAAAGCUAUAAACAAUGAGGAGGAAUUUCCCCUGCCUUAGAGCUGGCUCUUAAACUGCCUUCCUCCCCAGCCCUUGCUGACUGGCUCCAGCACUAUGCAGAGGGCUUACAGACUCACUGAGCAGUGGGAAGCAUCAUCAUGUGGAUCCCUGGAUCCCUGCUGGCUGCUGGGGAAGUGGCAUUUGGGGAAGACACGUAAAUGCCGGAGAGACUCCACAGCAGCUGGGUGUCCUGGAUAUGGAACAGACUGUGGAAGAGUUAAAGCAACACAGUGACAAAGCAUGGAAACGCCUGCGGUGUCCUACCACCCACGAGUUCUCCCUGUCCUUAAUCACCAGGCUGCCUGUUACGGCUGAAAGUGCCUUGUGCUUCCUCCUGGAGUCCUUCUGGGGACUGAACAGCGCAAUGUUGUUGUCCUGUUUAUAGCAGACAGCUUUUACAGACUUGGAGAAAAGGGGCUGGGAGGGACACUGGGGCACCUCUAGAUUGCCUUAUCUGUGCCCCUGGGCAAUAUCGGCCAUCCCUAAGGACAAGCAGUGAGAUUCAAAGAGCGCUGGAGACAGAGCUCCAGGCAGAUCCUGUCACACUCACCCCUGACAGCUGUCCUUCCUGUAUUUUCCUCUAAAUCCUCCACACACAGAAGCUUCAUCAUUUCUUGACCUGUGCCCUGGUGACAAGCAGAGCGGAUUUGUCCUUCCUCUCCACACAGAGAGGCACCGGGAGUCUGUCCUGAGGGCUCCCUGAAGACCAGCCCUAGCUAGGCUGCUGCUGCCUCUGCCUAUUCGCCCUGACAGCUAAGGAACGACAUCUUGCCUUAGCUUGCAGUUUUCCUCUGUGACAGCAAAGAUGGGCUUGUUUUUCCUUAGCAAACAUAUUCUCAAGUCUUUGUCAAGGAGGGGCUCGCUCCAGCAGAGUAUUUACAAUGCCAGGCCUGAGGCUGCCCAUGCCAGGCACUGCGGGCUCCUGUCAGAGGGCCGAGCAGCGAGGCCUAUCCUCCCCAACCCACAGCCAUCGUCUGUCACCACUUUCGGUGAAAGUCAUGGCCUGGUCACUCUCAAACCCUCAUUCUCAUACUCCAAGAUAGCUCCCCAGCCCAAGAGCUGGUCAGGAUGAUGAUGAUGAUGAUUAUUAUUAUUAUUAGUGAAAUGUUAGCUGUUGUGGUUUCUUUCCCUUUUGGAAUGGGCAAUUUAUUAAAGCCAAAAUUGUUGAUGGGAGCUGAUUUGACAAAUUUCUCAGUUCGGAACCACUUCCUUCAGGAGGAAGCACUGGAAUUGUUGAAACACGAAUGUCUGUAUUUUUUAAAUGAAGAAAUGUUUUGAUUCAGGGGUCAAGAUAAGUUGAAAAGAAGUAAGACAAAGAGUCAAUGUUAGCUUAAAAAACAUGACAAAAACAUUUAAAUCAAAAUGAUCCCUAUUUUAGCAUCACUUAGAUACAAUGGUAAUAUAGCCCCAAACUAUUUAUUAUUUAACAUUGUAUUUCAUUCUUGGGCCAUGAAAAACCUCUAGUUUCAAUAUUUGUCAAAAUUGGAAGGGGAUGUUAUUGAGGCGGUGCAGUUUGGAAAGCUCCUCAGGUCACUGAAGCCAUUUCAUCCCUUCUGGCAUUCAGAGUUUCUCAGUUUGCAGACUCAGCUCUUCCUGUGCGAAAUGGGAGAAGUCCCUCGUGGGGAUGGAGACGAAAGCCUUGCUGGGUGAUACUCCAGGAGAGGCCAUGGCUCCAGCAAGCAGCUGCUCUCUCCUUCCUGUCCUGUGUCUGUAAUUACUUUGUAAGAGUACCUGAACUUCAGCCUUAGCUCAUGAGAUUUUGCCCAUGCCUACAAAACGUGCUACAGAAGAGGGAGGUGCUUGAUCCUUGGAGGUGCAGGACAUUCUUUGUAUUUGCUUUCUGUUUCCCAGAAAAUUCUCCUCAAAGAUGACUCUGAUUUCCAGGACUAUCAAAGCACAUAUUUUUUUCAUGCAGCUAAAUAUAAAGGCAUGGGUACCUAGAUGAACACAUACAUGUUAUCCAAGACCACUGAUUGGAGUGAACCAGAUGAGAAGAUUUUUCUGAUUCUAAAGUUUCUUGGGAGCAGGGACCAUCAACCUGUGUCUUAAUAACAUAUAUUGAGUACCCAAUCCAAGAACUUAUUGAUUUGAAUAAGACUUAUACGCCUUGAUGAAAACUUUUACUUUCUAUCAAAAUGCAUCUCUCUCUGAGCUGGACUAUGACAGCAAACCUGCCCUCAAAUUGCCUACAUCACUCAGGCUUUCCUUAAAUGAAAGAUAAGCCUGUCUACUUCUUUGCUUAUCUUACCACAUUUCCAAAUCCCUGACUGUCCCUGAGAGUAGGAGAAGAGGAAGGUGAUGGUGAGCAGGUGGCAAGGAGAAAAAAAAAAGGGCAAUUUGGCAUUAUGGUCCAGGAGCCAAUGCUGUACUAAUAAACUGUGAAUAAAUUGUGCUUCUAAAUAUUACUUUAAAUGUUGCUUUACUUGAAUUCAAUAAGGACGACGCAUUGACC